Molecule: ribosomal RNA, 228 nt
Filed under: uncultured bacterium
Lineage: Bacteria
Description: partial 16S ribosomal RNA
Rfam family: Bacterial small subunit ribosomal RNA
Source: RNAcentral
CGGGGUGAGUAAUGUCUGGAAACUGCCUGAUGGAGGGGGAUAACUGCUGGAAACGGUAGCUAAUACCGCAUAACGUCGCAAGACCAAAGAGGGGGACCUUCGGGCCUCUUGCCAUCGGAUGUGCCCAGAUGGGAUUAGCUAGUAGGUGGGGUAACGGCUCACCUAGGCGACGAUCCCUAGCUGGUCUGAGAGGAUGACCAGCCACACUGGAACUGAGACACGGUCCAG